UACGUAGGGGGCAAGCGUUGUCCGGAAUCAUUGGGCGUAAAGGGCGCGUAGGCGGCCCUGUCAGUCGGGUGUGAAAGCCCGGGGCUCAACCCCGGAACGGCACCCGAGACGGCGGGGCUGGAGACCGGGAGAGGAGGGUGGAAUAGCCAGUGUAGAGGUGAAAUUCGUAGAUAUUGGCUGGAACACCGGUGGCGAAAGCGGCUCUCUGGCCCGGUACUGACGCUGAGGUGCGAAAGCGUGGGGAGCAAACAGG
Molecule: ribosomal RNA, 253 nt
Filed under: uncultured bacterium
Lineage: Bacteria
Description: partial 16S ribosomal RNA
Rfam family: Bacterial small subunit ribosomal RNA
Source: RNAcentral